CAUGAAGCUGGAAUUGCUAGUAAUCGCGGAUCAGCAUGCCGCGGUGAAUACGUUCCCGGGCCUUGUACACACCGCCCGUCACACCAUGAGAGUCGGGAACACCCGAAGUCCGUAGUCUAACCGCAAGGAGGGCGCGGCCGAAGGUGGGUCCGGUAAUUGGGGUGAAGUCGUAACAAGGUAAC
RNAcentral lists this ribosomal RNA (182 nucleotides) under uncultured bacterium. RNAcentral describes it as "partial 16S ribosomal RNA". It matches the Rfam family "Bacterial small subunit ribosomal RNA", at positions 1319 to 1500 of the family's 1533-position model. The record is from RNAcentral.